Molecule: transfer RNA, 77 nt
Filed under: Actinomycetota bacterium
Lineage: Bacteria; Bacillati; Actinomycetota
Also listed under: 1 other name
Description: tRNA-Arg
Rfam family: tRNA
About the family: Transfer RNA (tRNA) molecules are approximately 80 nucleotides in length. Their secondary structure includes four short double-helical elements and three loops (D, anti-codon, and T loops).
Source: RNAcentral
GCCUCUGUAGCUCAACUGGAUAGAGCAGAUGGUUUCUACCCAUCAGGUUGCGGGUUCGACUCCUGCCGGGGGCGCCA